RNAcentral lists this ribosomal RNA (484 nucleotides) under uncultured bacterium. RNAcentral describes it as "partial 16S ribosomal RNA". It matches the Rfam family "Bacterial small subunit ribosomal RNA", at positions 29 to 507 of the family's 1533-position model. The record is from RNAcentral.
AUUGAACGCUGGCGGCAUGCUCUACACAUGCAAGUCGAACGGCAGCGCGGGCUUCGGCCUGGCGGCGAGUGGCGAACGGGUGAGUAAUGCAUCGGAACGUGCCCAGUAGUGGGGGAUAGCCCGGCGAAAGCCGGAUUAAUACCGCAUACGACCUGAGGGUGAAAGCGGGGGACCGAAAGGCCUCGCGCUAUUGGAGCGGCCGAUGUCGGAUUAGCUAGUUGGUGGGGUAAAGGCUUACCAAGGCGACGAUCCGUAGCUGGUCUGAGAGGACGACCAGCCACACUGGUACUGAGACACGGCCCAGACUCCUACGGGAGGCAGCAGUGGGGAAUUUUGGACAAAGGGGGCAACCCUGAUCCAGCCAUGCCGCGUGCGGGAAGAAGGCCUUCGGGUUGUAAACCGCUUUUGUUCGGGAAGAAAUCCUCUGGGCUAAUACCCCGGGGGGAUGACGGUACCGGAAGAAUAAGCACCGGCUAACUACGUG